RNAcentral lists this ribosomal RNA (42 nucleotides) under uncultured fungus. Its description in RNAcentral is "partial 5.8S ribosomal RNA". The record is from RNAcentral. Lineage: Eukaryota; Fungi.
UAAAACUUUCAACAACGGAUCUCUUGGUUCUGGCAUCGAUGA